RNAcentral lists this ribosomal RNA (460 nucleotides) under uncultured bacterium. RNAcentral describes it as "partial 16S ribosomal RNA". It matches the Rfam family "Bacterial small subunit ribosomal RNA", at positions 338 to 795 of the family's 1533-position model. The record is from RNAcentral.
CCUACGGGAGGCAGCAGUGAGGAAUAUUGGUCAAUGGACGCAAGUCUGAACCAGCCAUGCCGCGUGCAGGAAGACGGAUCUAUGAGUUGUAAACUGCUUUUGUACGAGGGUAAACGCAGAUACGCGUAUCUGUCUGAAAGUAUCGUACGAAUAAGGAUCGGCUAACUACGUGCCAGAAGCCGCGGUAAUACGGAGGAUUCAAGCGUUAUCCGGAUUGAUUGGGUUUAAAGGGUGCGUAGGCGGUCGGAUAAGUUAGAGGUGAAAUCCCGAGGCUCAACUUCGGAAUUGCCUCUGAUACUGUUCGGCGAGAGAGUAGUUGCGGUAGGCGGAAUGUAUGGUGUAGCGGUGAAAUGCUUAGAGAUCAUACAGAACACCGAUUGCGAAGGCAGCUUACCAAGCUACUUCUGACGUUGAGGCACGAAAGCGUGGGGAGCAAACAGGAUUAGAUACCCUUGUAGUC